UUUUCUUUAGAGCCCAGUAAUGUUAUGUGUCUUUUCACAUGUUUAUUGGCCACUUGUGUAUCUUCUUUGGAGAAAUACCUUUAAGUUCUUUGCUCAUUUUUUAAUUGGGUAGUCUUUUUUUCUUAUUGAGUUGUAUAUUGAUGCUACCUUUGUCAAUAAAAAUGUAUGCAUUCAAAAAGGCUGACAUGAUAUUGUUGACAGACAGUAUUUGUAUGGUAAAUAGAAGUUUUAAUUAAUUGAAUAUUUACCCAUGUCUUUGGAAUGUUUUACAAUGAACAUAUUUGUAAUAAAACAAGCUAUGUGAAGAAAAGGAGAAGGAGCCAUGGUGUGUCAAGAGGCCCAGAGAGCCAGAGUGCUGCUGAGGCAGGGGCAGGACUGGACGUUUUAUGAUAGGAGUACUUGUACCAGACCACACCCUCCUGACUUUUCUGAAGCCUUUGGAACAUCCAAGAUAAGAGAAGAUUUGGCAAUAAGGACAAAUGGCCAUGUGACCAGGCUUAAAAUAGACAACAUCCAGGGAUGAACAUGAGAUGCAACCAGGGUCCAUCACAGUCCUGUCAGAAGAGGAUAAUUGCACAUCUUCCCCUCUGAGGAAGGAGUAAGGGGAGGAGGUGGCUCAUGCAGGGAC
Molecule: long non-coding RNA, 628 nt
Organism: Heterocephalus glaber (naked mole-rat)
Lineage: Eukaryota; Metazoa; Chordata; Mammalia; Rodentia; Bathyergidae
Source: Ensembl